Molecule: ribosomal RNA, 518 nt
Filed under: uncultured bacterium
Lineage: Bacteria
Description: bacterial SSU rRNA
Rfam family: Bacterial small subunit ribosomal RNA
Source: RNAcentral
GUUUGAUCCUGGCUCAGAACGAACGCUGGCGGCAGGCUUAACACAUGCAAGUCGAACGCUCGGAGCGAUCCGGGAGUGGCGGACGGGUGAGUAACGCGUGGGAACGUGCCCUGAGGUUGGGAAUAACUGCGGGAAACUGCAGCUAAUACCUGAUGAGCCCGAGCAAUCGGGGAAAGAUUUAUCGCCUUGGGAGCGGCCCGCGUCGGAUUAGCUAGUUGGUGGGGUAACGGCCUACCAAGGCUUCGAUCCGUAGCUGGUCUGAGAGGACGAUCAGCCACACUGGGACUGAGACACGGCCCAGACUCCUACGGGAGGCAGCAGUGGGGAAUCUUGCGCAAUGGGGGCAACCCUGACGCAGCCAUGCCGCGUGAAUGAUGAAGGCCUUAGGGUUGUAAAGUUCUUUUGCCCGUGACGAUGAUGACGGUAACGGGAGAAUAAGCUCCGGCUAACUUCGUGCCAGCAGCCGCGGUAAUACGAAGGGGGCUAGCGUUGUUCGGAAUUACUGGGCGUAAAGCGCG